AGGACCUGGGACCCAGCCACCCCGGAGGAAACCGGAGAGGAAACCAGCUUGGUCUUGCUCUCUGCCUCGUCCCAAUCCCCGGCUCUUACCAAAUGCAGAUCCGUUGGCUGAAUGCCUUUUAGUCUGCAUACAUGCAUCUCAUACCGCACAGCCCAAAUUUCUACAACUUGUCCAGGUGCAGUCUCCUCAGAACUACAAAGCAAGAAAAGAUCACCUUUGGGCUCAGGAACUCACAGUCGUUCUCCCUCUCCCGGAAGGCACAAUGACCAGGACAGUACCGAGCUUUACAGCCAUAUUGAACUCACCAUCAACUCAGCACAUUCAACUCAAUCAGUCAAAAUCGUCUUUUCCUGCUGGUAAAUAACACUGAAAUGAUGGGACCCAAAGCCCAACAACUGGUGUCCUUGUAAGAGAGAGGAAAGGAAGAUUGGACAUACGCAGACAUAGAAGAGACGACAAACAAGAAGGCCAUGUGAGGAUGGAGGCAGAAAUGGGAGUGUGGCAGCCGCAAGCCAAGGAAUACCAAGGACUGCCGGCAGACACCCAAAGCUAGGAGGGAGGCAUGGGUGGGAUUCUCCUUCACAGCCCCCAAAGGAAGUAACCCUGCUGCCGCUUUGAUUUCAGAGUUCUGCCUUCAUACUAUGACAGAGCAGGUUUCUAUUGUUUUAAGCCACCGUGCUUUGGUACUUUGUUAUAGCAGCCUUAGGAAGCUGUUAAUAACACAUAUGGGUAACAAUAAUCGGUGCUGCUGUGAGAUCAUGGAUGCACAAGUCAGAAGUCUAUAUAUAAUAAUUGUAGUGACCUGAUGGCCAGGGCACACCUAUUCUAUCCCUCUCCACAAUGGGAUUCAGUGUGCCAAGAAAUGACCUCUUUGGCAGAGGCUGGAAGAGUUCAGAUGUGAUGAAUAGAGGUGGAUAGCAAGUUUGAAAGCAGUUCAAAUAGAAAGCAUUGGAUUUGGGGCCCAAUGACCUGGGCUCACUUUCUUCUGACAUUAGGCAAAAUUGCUUCAUGGCAAUCAGCCUCAGUUUUGUCAAUGCAUGUAAUAAUAAACCAAACUUAAAACAUUGUUACGGGGGGGCAGAAAGAAGAGUGAGAGGGUAGGAGAGAGAAAGAAGGGAGAGAGAGAGAGACAACGAGAGAAUGUGCAGUUUUCUAGCACUUUGUAAAUGUCCAGUAAAUGCUUCUGUAUUCACUGAGCUAUACUUUUGGUCUGUCUUUAUUGACUGUCAUACCGUCUGGCUCAAGGCUGCCCCAUCAUUCCUGGACACUGUUGAUGAACUAUAUUCACAGACUAGACAUUAAAAAGUGCACUUGAUCAUGUUACUCCCCACUGACUGGGCUUGGAAGAGGAGUAAGGGAAGGAGGCAAAGAUGAGGGUUUAAGUCCACAGCUUCUUGGUGGCAGUGACCAAUAAAUGUGACCAUCGCAUGCUUGUGCUUAAGUUAUUUUAAACAUUCCCCAUUGUCAUAAGGACAAAAUUCAGGUUUCUGUGAUCUGGUCCACUUGCUUACUGGCCUCAUCCCCCUUAUUCCUCUCUUGUAUUUUAGUUUCUGCAACACAGCCUGACCUGUCCUGAUUGAAUCAGGUUCUGCAUUUUCAAUUAUUAUGCCUUGGCUUCUAUUAUUGCCACCGACUGGAAUGUCCUUUCUCACUGACCACCUUUGUACUCUGCACACCGGUCUUCCCUCUCUCUUUCAUGAGCUCUUUUUCUAUCCCUUCCUCCUUGCCACCAAACCCCUAAGAACCACUAAUGUUUUUUUUUACUUUCUUGAUAUUUUAGCCUUUUCCAGAAUGUCUUAUGAUUAGAAUCAGAAAGCAUAUAGAUUUUUAACCACCUUUUACUUAAUAAUAUGCAUGUAAGUCUCCUCCAUAUCAAUAUUAUUGCUGAAUAAUAUUCCAUGGUACAGAUGUACCACAGUUUGUUCAUUCCUUUACCUAUUGAAGAACAUCUUGAUUGCUUCUAAAUUUUAGCAAUUAUCAAUAAAACCUUCCAUGAAUAUUUGUGUGCAACUUUCUAUGUGGACAUGAGUUUUCAACUGCCUGCCUUUUACAAUUAAGCUCAAGUGCCACUUCCUCCAGGAAGCAUUGCCUGAUUCCCUGGGGUCUGCAACAUUGAUCUCCCUCCUGUUUCCAGUACUCCAAUGCACCUGUUCCACCAUAGCACUUAGGGGACUGUACUACACUAACUGUUCCCUGUGUGUCACCCCAGUGAGACUGUGGG
Molecule: long non-coding RNA, 2221 nt
Filed under: Homo sapiens (human)
Lineage: Eukaryota; Metazoa; Chordata; Mammalia; Primates; Hominidae
Description: HSALNT0379026
Source: RNAcentral